RNAcentral lists this ribosomal RNA (422 nucleotides) under uncultured bacterium. RNAcentral describes it as "bacterial SSU rRNA". It matches the Rfam family "Bacterial small subunit ribosomal RNA", at positions 355 to 774 of the family's 1533-position model. The record is from RNAcentral.
UGAGGAAUAUUGGACAAUGGGUGGAAGCCUGAUCCAGCCAUCCCGCGUGAAGGAUGACGGUUCUAUGGAUUGUAAACUUCUUUUGUACAGGGAUAAACCUGCCCUCGUGAGGGCAGCUGAAGGUACUGUACGAAUAAGCACCGGCUAACUCCGUGCCAGCAGCCGCGGUAAUACGGAGGGUGCGAGCGUUAUCCGGAUUUAUUGGGUUUAAAGGGUCCGUAGGCGGGCCUGUAAGUCAGUGGCGAAAUCUCAUAGCUUAACUAUGAAACUGCCAUUGAUACUGCAGGCCUUGAGUAAAUUUGAAGUGGCUGGAAUAAGUAGUGUAGCGGUGAAAUGCAUAGAUAUUACUUAGAACACCGAUUGCGAAGGCAGGUCACUAAGAUUUAACUGACGCUGAUGGACGAAAGCGUGGGGAGCGAACA